UUAAACUUUCCUUGUUCAGGUGUCCCGACGGCCGUCGCCCGAGGGAUGAAACGGGAAGCCGGUGCGUGGUCCUGCCACCAUUCCGGCGCUGCCCCCGCAACGGUAGGCGAGCACAUGCGCGGCCAACGCCACUGAGCCCAAGGCUCGGGAAGGCGCCGCACAGGACGAUGGAGAAAUCGUCGCUCGCAAGCCCGGAGACCGGCCCGGACAUGACUGCUGGC
RNAcentral lists this non-coding RNA (221 nucleotides) under Rhodanobacter spathiphylli. The record is from RNAcentral. Lineage: Bacteria; Pseudomonadati; Pseudomonadota; Gammaproteobacteria; Lysobacterales; Rhodanobacteraceae.